GCGUGGGUAGCAAACAGGAUUAGAGACCCUGGUAGUCCACGCCGUAAAUUCUGAGUGCUGUAAUUUAAUUGUAAUAUUUUUUUAUUACUUAGAUUUUCAAGCUAACGCAAUAAGCACUCCGCCUGAGGAGUACGAUCGCAAGAUUGGAACUCAAAGGAAUUGACGGGGGUCUAACACUAGUGGUGGAGCAUGUGGUUUAAUGCGAUAAUCCGCGCAAAACCUUACCAAUUCUUGACAUAUUU
This 242-nucleotide ribosomal RNA is filed under the name Pseudo-nitzschia pungens. RNAcentral's name for it is "partial Bacterial small subunit ribosomal RNA". It matches the Rfam family "Bacterial small subunit ribosomal RNA", at positions 759 to 991 of the family's 1533-position model. Lineage: Eukaryota; Bacillariophyta; Bacillariophyceae; Bacillariales; Bacillariaceae. The record is from RNAcentral.